Molecule: transfer RNA, 58 nt
Filed under: Tscherskia triton (greater long-tailed hamster)
Lineage: Eukaryota; Metazoa; Chordata; Mammalia; Rodentia; Cricetidae
Description: tRNA-Ser
Source: RNAcentral
AAGAGAGUAUGCAAGAGCUGCUAACUCAUGCCCCCAUGCAUAACAACAUGGCUUUCUU